CACAAAGGAGAGUUGAAGUAAUUCCAAGAAAUGAUGGAGACUUGGGCUUGAACAAUGACAGUGGGGAAAAGAAGGAAAUGAAUUCUGACGCUGAUGUGGUUGUUCAUCUGACAGCAUUGAAUGGUCUGAAGUCCUCCAUUUCUGGUCAGCUGGAGAGGACCGCUCUCCACUCUGAGGCCAUUCUCCAGCUCUCAUCCUGUGUCUGUUGCUCACAAGAUUGCUGUCUGUUUCGUUCCCAGCUAACCAACCACAUUUCUCUGGCUUCCUUUUCUGAAACCAAUCAGGAAAACCAAAAACCAAAAAGACAAAACAACAAAAACAAUAAACACUCUGCUUUUUUUA
Non-coding RNA from Ictidomys tridecemlineatus (thirteen-lined ground squirrel), 342 nucleotides. NCBI's taxonomy places the organism in Eukaryota, Metazoa, Chordata, Mammalia, Rodentia, Sciuridae. The record is from RefSeq and is a predicted model, not a curated record.